This 2217-nucleotide long non-coding RNA is filed under the name Capsicum annuum. RNAcentral's name for it is "long non-coding RNA (CANN_LNC007416)". The record is from RNAcentral. Lineage: Eukaryota; Viridiplantae; Streptophyta; Magnoliopsida; Solanales; Solanaceae.
AAAAGGCAUGUGGCAUAUAAACAUGUACAAAGCUCAGGUCCUAAAUCUCAUAAUAAAAGCGUGCAAAAUAAACAAGCAUCAAUGAACAACAAUAGCAGGAUACAAUAAAUACAUUCCCAUGGGGGUGCAAGACAGUUCCAAGCACAUUAAUAAAGUAGUUUGUCAGUAUAGAGACAAAGGAAAUAUGCUAAACCUAUCUAGAGGCACUAGUUAUUAAAAAACUUCACCACAAAAAAGGGUAGUCGGAGCGUUCCGCCGUAUGACAUCGAAUCUUCCUUGGUCUUUCAGUUGCAUGUCAAUUCAUAAUCAACACCUACAAAGAAAGGUAGAGGUCAGUGGCAUAGGCAGUGAGUUGAUAUGUCCAAUAAAAAAUUAGGAGAAGGCCUUACUUUAUAGUAUAAGUCGGUGGGUCGACAUUGUGAAACUUCGGUCCUGUGGGGUCAAACCCCAACCACCUAAAGAGUGCUUGAUGUUAGAUGAAGAUAAAAGGAGGUAAAGAUUAAGGAGGGGAAGCAUCUCACCUGAGGUAAAGACGAUAGAUAGAGCUGAAAUGAGCAUCAAAACAAAAGGAAGGAUCUUAUGAAUCACCCACAGAAGGAAGAUGAUAAAGCGGCAGCACCAGGGUGGGGGAAACAUUCCUCAGAUGAGGCGGCUAAUAGUGAAGAAGAGUACAAUGCACUCUUGUCUAAAAGAGAGUGGCUUUUUAUAUCCAAAGUGGAAACGUUUCAUCUUCUAUGUUAUGGACCAAAUCUUUUUUAUGGAUCUUGGGUCAACAUUGUAAAUAUUGGGCCUAUUUGGUGAUUUUUUCCUAAAUAAUAGGGCAAAAUUCAGAAAUAGCAUACUUAUCCCUUUAAUUAUGAAUUUCAUAACAACAGUUUCAUAAUUACAUAAUAUAACAAGUUGUAUUUUAUAUUUUUGCAACCUAUUGCUACAAAAAUACAAAUAUAUAUGAUUUUUACUGCCCUUAUGAUCGAUAUGUAUUUUGUAUUUUUGCAAACUGUUGCUACAAAAAUACAAAUACAUACAAAUACAUAUGCUACAAAAUGUAAUUUGAUAAAAGUGUUGCUAUUUUUUAUAAUUUAAUACUUAAGUAUGCUACUUUAUGUAUUUUUUCCUAAAUAUAAAUAAUAAAAUGGUACAAGCUUUGACCGAAAAUUUUAAUUAAAAAAACAAUAUGCUGGAAAUUUGUUUAGCUAUUAAAAAAUGAUUUUUAUAUUGUUGGGAUUCAUUAUAAAAUGCUUAAAAAUGAUUUUUAAAUACUAAAAUUAUUAUUUAAAGGCUGAAAAGCGUCUUUUUAUUGCUGGAAAUCAAUAAAAAAAUAGACUGAAAACUAAAAUUUAGUUGCUGAAAAUUACAUUAGGAGUUCUGUAAAAUUAGUUUAGAGGCUGAAAAGUUAAUAAAAAAACAGAGAAAAUUAUAUGAGCAUGUUGUAAAACUAUAGGCUGAAAGUUAAACCAAAACCUAUAAAACAUGUUACCCGUAAUUAAACAUGUCGUGAACAGUUGAACUUAAUUUAAUAUGUCGAAAGUUAAUUAAAAUUCCUAAAAAUAGAAUUUCUAGUUGACAAAUUAAGUCUAUUAUUGAUCCUAGAUUAAAGAUUUGCCUAAGUGAUUCACAUAAACACAUAAUCUUGCACCCCAUAAGCAGUCCCCAUGAUUUAUUAUUAUAUAAGCAUUUAUACGGUAGUUCAUUACAAAAUUGAAUAAAUUAGAUAGACAUUAAAUAAAUAAAAGCUAAUUGAGAGGUUGUAUUGUCCCUUCACGUCCUAAUCAACUCUUCGGCGGUCCCAAAUCAAGCAAACCUUUUAAACACCUGUGAAGAGAACGAGAUAUUUCAAACACACAAACAUAAAUACACGAUACUUGGGAAGAACAAGAAUACACAUCUCAAAAACCAUUAACACAACAUUAGGCCCUAUGAGUAUAUUUUCUAAAGACUCCACAACAUCAUAAAAUUACUACAUAUGUAUGAAAAUUGCAUUGAUAGGGAACUUACCAAUAAGUGGCAGAAUUAUAAAACAAGAUAAGAACACCGUAUUUCUACAACAAGAAUUCGUAAUAAAAAAGAUAAUAGCAAAAGCUGUAUCAAGACCACAAAAACAAAGAAAUAUUCUUAUAGUGCAGAGAAAGAGUAAAUAGUGUAAAAAUAUAGGAAUCCAAGUCUAUCUAGAAUAAGAGAAGGAGGGUGAUUAUAUAGCAGAGCAUACUAUGAGAAAAU